Molecule: non-coding RNA, 653 nt
Organism: Carica papaya (papaya)
Lineage: Eukaryota; Viridiplantae; Streptophyta; Magnoliopsida; Brassicales; Caricaceae
Source: RefSeq, a predicted model, not a curated record
CAAAUCAAAACUGUUAGUUACCAGCUUCAACGGUCAAUCAUUUUCCCGGACGCCCCGACACGGUCUCUCUGUUUUGAAUUUUCCUCUCUUCGGAUCCUCCAUCGAGCUCCAGUGCAGAACAUUAUGCUGAACUGGGGAACUUUGCGCAGGGAGGAUCCAAAGUUCUACAUUCUGGAUCAACUAAAGCUUUUGUUCUUCCUUCCAGUUUUGAGUUUUAUGUUCUUAUAGUGAGAAUCAAGUGGAAAUGGCUUCCAAUGGGACUUCAUAUGUUAAAGUACAGAGGAAGGGAUUUGCAGCAAUUCUAAAAUCUGCAGCUUGUGAAUGGUUCUUGAUAUUUUUGUUGCUCAUUGAUGCUGUAUUCUCGUAUCUUGCAACAAAAUUUGCACGUUACUGUGAUUUGCAAAUACCUUGCGUCUUGUGUUCCAGAAUUGACCAUUCUUGGGGCAAAGAGAAACCUGAUUUUUACCGGAAACUGUUUUGCAGUGACCACACAUCCGAAAUUUCAACUCUACUUUCUUGUCAGGUUCACAGUAAGCUUGCUGAUGGCCGUGGUAUGUGCGACAAUUGUCUCUUGUCAUUCAGCACCAAUAAUAAACCAAACCCCGAUAUGCACAGGUUGUUCCUGGGUAAGAUUGGGGUCGAUAUUUGUGGCU